This is a non-coding RNA of Doryrhamphus excisus (bluestripe pipefish), 734 nucleotides long. NCBI's taxonomy places the organism in Eukaryota, Metazoa, Chordata, Actinopteri, Syngnathiformes, Syngnathidae. The record is from RefSeq and is a predicted model, not a curated record.
GAGGUAUGUAUGGAUGUAUUUGGAUAUAUUUGGAUGUAUUUUCCCCCCUUUUUCCUUCAACUUAUACUUGCCCCCAAAUGCUGAUACUAUGUGGGAAUCCGUAAAGUUUCGGUAUCCCGGAUAUCAACGAGUAAAAUGCUAAAAUGGCUGAUCUUACCGUGGAGGAACUGGAGGAACAUCCACUUUGGUUGGUCUUGUCAAGCCAGCGGUUGAUCCUGUCUGAGACUCCUGAUGAGGACCCUCGAAAUUCCUGUUCCAGUCCGAGGAUUAAGAUGAUAUUCUUCUACGCCGCAAGAUCAGACCUGUGCAGCCUCGGCUAGUCUUUCCAUCUUCUCCUGGAUGGACCUGGAUGAGAUUCUUUGCACAGAACUGCGCACGUUGGACGGAACAAACAUAUUCAGCACGAUUGGAUCUGACAUCUUUAGGAAUGUAAAGCGUCGCCUUCUCUGACUCGUCCGCAUCAUCCUCCCGUACCCCCUUCUGACGCCUCAACGUCUCCACAUGCCUCAUCCUGCGCUUUUCAUCCCGGAUACGCAGCAUCUCCAUAAAGUCCAUUUGCAUAUUCUCAAUACUGGAAAAUAACAAUUAUUGACCUUUAUAAUGGAUUACAGUCAAAAAGCCUCAGAUCAGGUUCCUCCCGCUCACAACAAUGUUCGACAACAAAAAUACAGUAAACCUCGGAUAUAUCGGACUCAGAUAUAUCGGAAAUUCGCUCACAACGGACAGAUAAAAAA